RNA transcript from Cottoperca gobio, 1824 nucleotides. It is a transcript of the gene named endoplasmic reticulum-Golgi intermediate compartment protein 2-like, with no coding region annotated. Lineage: Eukaryota; Metazoa; Chordata; Actinopteri; Perciformes; Bovichtidae. The transcript is spliced from 15 exons. The record is from RefSeq and is a predicted model, not a curated record.
UGUGUCAGCACAGCACCAUGGACGUAUUAUGGUGCACUGAAAUUCAGAUAUCAUUCAAACAGCCGCUGUAACUUAUUGAUUAUGGCUUUUAGGGAUCCUGCACCAAGAUUUAACAUCUAAGUAGAUGAUAAAAGAGGAGGUGGAGAGCAGCCCUGAACCUGAAGAUGAGGCGUCUGUCACGGAGGAAAGCCCUGACCUUGGUAAGGGAGCUGGACGCCUUCCCUAAAGUGUCAGACAGCUACGUAGAGACCUCAGCCUCAGGAGGAACAGUGUCGCUGAUCGCUUUUGCUGCCAUGGCUCUUCUGGCUAUCUUAGAGUUCUUUGUUUAUAGAGACACUUGGAUGAAGUAUGAAUAUGAAGUCGACAAGGAUUUUUCCAGUAAAUUGAGAAUAAACAUCGACAUUACAGUUGCCAUGAAAUGCCAGCAUGUUGGAGCAGAUAUUCUGGACCUGGCUGAGACCAUGAUCACAUCGAGCGGCCUCCAGUACGAGCCUGUUAUUUUUGAACUGACUCCACAACAGAGACUGUGGCAAAGGACGUUGCUUCUCAUACAGAACAGGCUGAGAGAGGAACAUGCUCUUCAGGAAGUCCUUUACAAAAGUCUCCUCAAAGGAGGUCCCACUGCGCUGCCCCCACGGGAGGAUGCCUCUAUGGAGCCGCUCGAUGCUUGCAGGAUACACGGGCACGUCUACGUCAACAAGGUGGCAGGAAACCUACACAUCACUGUGGGAAAGCCCAUUCACCAUCCUCAGGGUCACGCACACAUUGCAGCUUUUGUCAGCCACAAUACGUACAACUUCUCCCAUCGAAUAGACCAUUUAUCUUUUGGGGAGGCGAUACCGGGUAUCAUCAAUCCUCUGGAUGGCACAGAGAAAAUCACCUACAACCAUAACCAGAUGUUCCAGUAUUUCAUCACAGUGGUUCCAACCAGACUGAACACAUACAAGAUAUCUGCAGACACGCACCAGUUUUCUGUGACUGAGCGGGAGCGAGUGAUAAACCAUGCAGCAGGCAGUCACGGCGUGUCCGGCGUCUUCAUCAAGUACGACACCAGCUCUCUGAUGGUGACGGUCAGCGAGCAGCACAUGCCACUGUGGCAGUUCCUGGUGCGACUGUGCGGCAUCAUCGGGGGAAUAUUCUCCACGACAGGCAUGCUCCACGGGCUUGUUGGCUUCUGUUUCGAUGUUAUCUGCUGUCGCCUCAAACGUGGAGUCUACAGACCCAGAGAUGAUGUGCAGCUACACAACCAGACGAACAAUCUGAACAAUCACCAGACUCCUCUGGUGGCGGACGAUGUCCCUCAGGAGUAGCAGUUUUUCAGUCACCAGCCUUUUCAUCGUCAGCACGUCAUGUGUUUUUCUACUGAAGGCCUCGAUCGACUGCAGACAUCGUUCAUUAUCCCCUUCUGAAAUUAAGAGGACAGGGAGAAUAAAUACACCAGACGUUAGCUUUGCAUAAACAUUUAUUAAGUCGUGUCCCUUUUUCUCCCAUAUAGGCUCGUGACUGUUACGUAUUUGUAUUCUGUCAAGAGCCACACACAACACUGUACACAGUUCCCUCAUUUGUUUAGUACAAAUCUGACUUGCCGGUCACAUUUAACACUUUUGGUAGACUCUGUGGGAAGCUCUGUGGUGGAAUCCUGUGAAGACACUCACCAAGCAAACAUCAACAGUCGGAUACAAUUUUUGGUGGUCUAUAAGAAUAAUAUGUAAUUCAACUAUUUACAGGCCUUCCAAACUGGGAUUCAAUACCAGGAGGGCCCGAAACCCCUCCUUUAAAACCUAGCACUUUUGUGAUUUAGGUCCAGACUGACAUGUCGGUCAG